GAUGAACGCUGGCGGCGUGCCUAAUACAUGCAAGUCGAGCGAACGGACGAGAAGCUUGCUUCUCUGAUGUUAGCGGCGGACGGGUGAGUAACACGUGGAUAACCUACCUAUAAGACUGGGAUAACUUCGGGAAACCGGAGCUAAUACCGGAUAAUAUUUUGAACCGCAUGGUUCAAAAGUGAAAGACGGUCUUGCUGUCACUUAUAGAUGGAUCCGCGCUGCAUUAGCUAGUUGGUAAGGUAACGGCUUACCAAGGCAACGAUGCAUAGCCGACCUGAGAGGGUGGUCGGCCACACUGGAACUGAGACACGGUCCAGACUCCUACGGGAGGCAGCAGUAGGGAAUCUUCCGCAAAGGGCGAAAGCCUGACGGAGCAACGCCGCGUGAGUGAUGAAGGUCUUCGGAUCGUAAAACUCUGUUAUUAGGGAAGAACAUAUGUGUAAGUAACUGUGCACAUCUUGACGGUACCUAAUCAGAAAGCCACGGCUAACUACGUG
Molecule: ribosomal RNA, 497 nt
Filed under: uncultured bacterium
Lineage: Bacteria
Description: partial 16S ribosomal RNA
Rfam family: Bacterial small subunit ribosomal RNA
Source: RNAcentral